UACGGGGGGAGCAAGCGUUGUUCGGAUUUACUGGGCGUAAAGGGCGCGUAGGCGGUCGUGACAAGUCACUUGUGAAAUCUCCGGGCUUAACUCGGAACGGUCAAGUGAUACUGUCGGACUAGAGUACAGAAGGGGCAACUGGAAUUCUCGGUGUAGCGGUGAAAUGCGUAGAUAUCAGGAGGAACACCGGUGGCGAAGGCGGGUCUCUGGGCCGAUACUGACGCUGAGGAGCGAAAGCGUGGGGAGCAAACAGG
RNAcentral lists this ribosomal RNA (254 nucleotides) under uncultured bacterium. RNAcentral describes it as "partial 16S ribosomal RNA". It matches the Rfam family "Bacterial small subunit ribosomal RNA", at positions 524 to 776 of the family's 1533-position model. The record is from RNAcentral.